Molecule: ribosomal RNA, 752 nt
Filed under: uncultured bacterium
Lineage: Bacteria
Description: bacterial SSU rRNA
Rfam family: Bacterial small subunit ribosomal RNA
Source: RNAcentral
GUCGAACGGACUCAUAUUGAAACCUAGUGAUGUAUGAGUUAGUGGCGGACGGGUGAGUAACGCGUGGAGAACCUGCCGUAUACUGGGGGAUAACACUUAGAAAUAGGUGCUAAUACCGCAUAAGCGCACAGCUUCGCAUGAAGCAGUGUGAAAAACUCCGGUGGUAUACGAUGGAUCCGCGUCUGAUUAGCUUGUUGGCGGGGUAAAGGCCCACCAAGGCGACGAUCAGUAGCCGGCCUGAGAGGGUGAACGGCCACAUUGGGACUGAGACACGGCCCAAACUCCUACGGGAGGCAGCAGUGGGGAAUAUUGCACAAUGGGGGAAACCCUGAUGCAGCGACGCCGCGUGAGUGAAGAAGUAUUUCGGUACGUAAAGCUCUAUCAGCAGGGAAGAAAAUGACGGUACCUGACUAAGAAGCCCCGGCUAACUACGUGCCAGCAGCCGCGGUAAUACGUAGGGGGCAAGCGUUAUCCGGAUUUACUGGGUGUAAAGGGAGCGUAGACGGCAGCACAAGUCUGGAGUGAAAUCCCAUGGCUUAACCAUGGAACUGCUUUGGAAACUGUGCAGCUGGAGUGCAGGAGAGGUAAGCGGAAUUCCUAGUGUAGCGGUGAAAUGCGUAGAUAUUAGGAGGAACACCAGUGGCGAAGGCGGCUUACUGGACUGUAACUGACGUUGAGGCUCGAAAGCGUGGGGAGCAAACAGGAUUAGAUACCCUGGUAGUCCACGCUGUAAACGAUGAUUACUAGGUGUU